CAGUGGGGCGUGCUAUACAUGCAAGUUGAGCGCUGAAGGUUGGUACUUGUACCAGACUGGAUGAGCAGCGAACGGGUGAGUAACGCGUGGGGAAUCUGCCUUUGAGCGGGGGACAACAUUUGGAAACGAAUGCUAAUACCGCAUAAAAACUUUAAACACAAGUUUUAAGUUUGAAAGAUGCAAUUGCAUCUACUCCAAAGAGGAUCCCGCGUUGUAUUAGCUAUGUUGGUGAGGUAAAGGCACACCAAGGCGAUGAAUACAUAGCCGACCUGAGAGGGUGAUCGGCCACAUUGGGACUGAGACACGGCCCAAACUCCUACGGGAGGCAGCAGUAGGGAAUCUUCGGCAAUGGACGAAAGUCUGACCGAGCAACGCCGCGUGAGUGAAGAAGGUUUUCGGAUCGUAAAACUCUGUUGGUAGAGAAGAACGUUGGUGAGAGUGGAAAGCUCAUCAAGUGACGGUAACUACCCAGAAAGGGACGGCUAACUACGUGCCAGCAGCCGCGGUAAUACGUAGGUCCCGAGCGUUGUCCGGAUUUAUUGGGCGUAAAGCGAGCGCAGGUGGUUUAUUAAGUCUGGUGUAAAAGGCAGUGGCUCAACCAUUGUAUGCAUUGGAAACUGGUAGACUUGAGUGCAGGAGAGGAGAGUGGAAUUCCAUGUGUAGCGGUGAAAUGCGUAGAUAUAUGGAGGAACACCGGUGGCGAAAGCGGCUCUCUGGCCUGUAACUGACACUGAGGCUCGAAAGCGUGGGGAGCAAACAGGAUUAGAUACCCUGGUAGUCCACGCCGUAAACGAUGAGUGCUAGAUGUAGGGAGCUAUAAGUUCUCUGUAUCGCAGCUAACGCAAUAAGCACUCCGCCUGGGGAGUACGACCGCAAGGUUGAAACUCAAAGGAAUUGACGGGGGCCCGCACAAGCGGUGGAGCAUGUGGUUUAAUUCGAAGCAACGCGAAGAACCUUACCAGGUCUUGACAUACUCGUGCUAUUCCUAGAGAUAGGAAGUUCCUUCGGGACACGGGAUACAGGUGGUGCAUGGUUGUCGUCAGCUCGUGUCGUGAGAUGUUGGGUUAAGUCCCGCAACGAGCGCAACCCCUAUUGUUAGUUGCCAUCAUUAAGUUGGGCACUCUAACGAGACUGCCGGUGAUAAACCGGAGGAAGGUGGGGAUGACGUCAAAUCAUCAUGCCCCUUAUGACCUGGGCUACACACGUGCUACAAUGGAUGGUACAACAAGUCGCGAGACAGUGAUGUUUAGCUAAUCUCUUAAAACCAUUCUCAAGUCCGAAAUGUGAGGCUGCAACUCGCCUACAUGAAGUCGGAAUCGCUAGUAAUCGCGGAUCAGCACGCCGCGGUGAAUACGUUCCCGGGCCUUGUACACACCGCCCGUCACACCACGGGAGUUGGGAGUACCCGAAGUAGGUUGCCUAACCGCAAGGAGGGCGCUCCUAAGUAGACCGAGUC
RNAcentral lists this ribosomal RNA (1456 nucleotides) under Lactococcus lactis. RNAcentral's name for it is "bacterial SSU rRNA". It matches the Rfam family "Bacterial small subunit ribosomal RNA". Lineage: Bacteria; Bacillati; Bacillota; Bacilli; Lactobacillales; Streptococcaceae. The record is from RNAcentral.